RNAcentral lists this ribosomal RNA (434 nucleotides) under uncultured bacterium. Its description in RNAcentral is "partial 16S ribosomal RNA". It matches the Rfam family "Bacterial small subunit ribosomal RNA", at positions 29 to 507 of the family's 1533-position model. The record is from RNAcentral.
AGCGAACGCUGGCGGCAGGCCUAACACAUGCAAGUCGAACGAACCUUUCGGGGUUAGUGGCGGACGGGUGAGUAGCACGUGGGAACGUGCCUUUAGGUUCGGAAUAACUCAGGGAAACUUGUGCUAAUACCGAAUGUGCCCUUCGGGGGAAAGAUUAAUCGCCUUUAGAGCGGCCCGCGUCUGAUUAGCUAGUUGGUUGAGGUAAUGGCUCACCAAGGCGACGAUCAGUAGCUGGUCUGAGAGGAUGAUCAGCCACAUUGGGACUGAGACACGGCCCAAACUCCUACGGGAGGCAGCAGUGGGGAAUCUUGCGCAAUGGGCGAAAGCCUGACGCAGCCAGGCCGCGUGAAUGAUGAAGGUCUUAGGAUUGUAAAAUUCUUUCACCGGGGACGAUAAUGACGGUACCCGGAGAAGAAGCCCCGGCUAACUUCGUG